GCCCCAUGAUGUUGAGUUUUUACAAAUCCUCUACAAUGCCAGUGCUGCUGACCUUUGGAUGUUGAUUUUGGAAGCAGUGCUGUGGGCAAGAUGACUGAUAGGCUUACCCUGGACAAAAACAAAAAUGACAGGAGCAUUAAAACAUGUCAAGGGCAGGAGCUGACUGGGAAGCCAAAGUCCUGCAAAGCAAAGGGGAAUUCACACACCUGAAAGGACUGGGAGGAGGGGCAGAAAUGCAGAAGCUUGUGGAUUGAGCACAAUUAUUCUCAGAGGGCCUAGUCCAGAAACACUGAUGUUAUGGAUAAGAGGAG
Long non-coding RNA from Callithrix jacchus (white-tufted-ear marmoset), 311 nucleotides. RefSeq lists it as uncharacterized. The record is from RefSeq and is a predicted model, not a curated record. Lineage: Eukaryota; Metazoa; Chordata; Mammalia; Primates; Cebidae.